This 497-nucleotide ribosomal RNA is filed under the name uncultured bacterium. RNAcentral's name for it is "partial 16S ribosomal RNA". It matches the Rfam family "Bacterial small subunit ribosomal RNA", at positions 28 to 507 of the family's 1533-position model. The record is from RNAcentral.
GAUGAACGCUGGCGGCGUGCCUAAUACAUGCAAGUCGAGCGAACAGACGAGGAGCUUGCUCCUCUGACGUUAGCGGCGGACGGGUGAGUAACACGUGGAUAACCUACCUAUAAGACUGGGAUAACUUCGGGAAACCGGAGCUAAUACCGGAUAAUAUCUUGAACCGCAUGGUUCAAUAGUGAAAGACGGUUUUGCUGUCACUUAUAGAUGGAUCCGUGCCGCAUUAGCUAGUUGGCAAGGUAACGGCAUACCAAGGCGACGAUGCGUAGACGACCUGAGAGGGUGAUCGGCCACACUGGAACUGAGACACGGUCCAGACUCCUACGGGAGGCAGCAGUAGGGAAUCUUCCGCAAUGGGCGAAAGCCUGACGGAGCAACGCCGCGUGAGUGAUGAAGGUCUUCGGAUCGUAAAACUCUGUUAUUAGGGAAGAACAAAUGUGUAAGUAACUAUGCACGUCUUGACGGUACCUAAUCAGAAAGCCACGGCUAACUACGUG